GACCGCUUGGGGCAAUGGUAGCGCAUUCGACUCCAGACCGUAAGGUUGGGCGUUCGAACCGCUCAGUAGUCA
RNAcentral lists this transfer RNA (72 nucleotides) under Angiostrongylus costaricensis. It matches the Rfam family "tRNA". From Rfam's summary of the family: Transfer RNA (tRNA) molecules are approximately 80 nucleotides in length. Their secondary structure includes four short double-helical elements and three loops (D, anti-codon, and T loops). Lineage: Eukaryota; Metazoa; Nematoda; Chromadorea; Rhabditida; Metastrongylidae. The record is from Rfam by way of RNAcentral.